RNAcentral lists this ribosomal RNA (182 nucleotides) under uncultured beta proteobacterium. Its description in RNAcentral is "partial 16S ribosomal RNA". It matches the Rfam family "Bacterial small subunit ribosomal RNA", at positions 355 to 528 of the family's 1533-position model. Lineage: Bacteria; Pseudomonadati; Pseudomonadota; Betaproteobacteria. The record is from RNAcentral.
UGGGGAAUUUUGGACAAUGGGCGCAAGCCUGAUCCAGCAAUGCCGCGUGCAGGAAGAAGGCCUUCGGGUUGUAAACUGCUUUUGUACGGAGCGAAAAGGCUCUCUCUAAUACAGGGGGCUCAUGACGGUACCGUAAGAAUAAGCACCGGCUAACUACGUGCCAGCAGCCCGCGGUAAUACAA